This 253-nucleotide ribosomal RNA is filed under the name uncultured bacterium. RNAcentral describes it as "partial 16S ribosomal RNA". It matches the Rfam family "Bacterial small subunit ribosomal RNA", at positions 524 to 776 of the family's 1533-position model. The record is from RNAcentral.
UACGUAGGGUGCGAGCGUUAAUCGGAAUUACUGGGCGUAAAGCGUGCGCAGGCGGUUCGUUGUGUCGGUGGUGAAAGCCCCGGGCUUAACCUGGGAAUGGCCAUGGAAACUGGCGAACUGGAGUGUGGCAGAGGGGGGUGGAAUUCCUGGUGUAGCGGUGAAAUGCGCAGAUAUCAGGAAGAACACCCGUGGCGAAAGCGGCUCUCUGGAACGGUACUGACACUGAGACGCGAAAGCGUGGGGAGCGAACAGG